UGCCUCAUCGCCAUCGACGUUCUCCAACCGCCGUUUCAAACAGGCGAGGCGCGUCGUCGUAGCGGUUCGGUAGGAUAUGACAUGUUACACGAAAGGGUCUUUGGAACCUCAGCCUCAGCAUCAUGCGUAUUUUGUACUGGAAUCUCGGGAGCAUCGAGGCAGUACUGGCCAGUACGUCGAACAACUACGUUGUGCAUAACAACGAUUGCCGUGGUGUGCGAGAGCUAGCGUUCCUGUGUUCUCCGGCUUUGCAGUUAAGUACCCACACACAACCAUGGAUAGCCUCACACAUGUGUAAAGUUGCUGGUGUCUCUACAACACUGAAGAGCCAGGCAUAAACCGGAAGACGUCGCUUGGGUCUGCCAGUGAUUAGGCUGCUUCCGCAUGUAACCAUCUAUACUGCAAGAGAAACUGCGGGACGACGGUUGCCAAGUGGCGUAGCAAUCACGUGAUUAUUAUUAUUAUGACCAUUAUUGUCUUAUUAUGCGUCUUAUCCGUGUCACCCUAUAUUGUUAAUAAUUAGCCUAUUUAUGUUGUAAUAUCAUAUUUUGUACUAUUAGAAAGAGCGUUUCUUACAGUGCAUGUAACAUCACUGUACUUGGUUUGUGCUCAAUAAACAAGAGUUCGUUGA
Long non-coding RNA from Ornithodoros turicata, 631 nucleotides. RefSeq lists it as uncharacterized. NCBI's taxonomy places the organism in Eukaryota, Metazoa, Arthropoda, Arachnida, Ixodida, Argasidae. The transcript has 3 exons. The record is from RefSeq and is a predicted model, not a curated record.